This 254-nucleotide ribosomal RNA is filed under the name uncultured bacterium. RNAcentral's name for it is "partial 16S ribosomal RNA". It matches the Rfam family "Bacterial small subunit ribosomal RNA", at positions 524 to 776 of the family's 1533-position model. The record is from RNAcentral.
UACAGAGGUGGCAAGCGUUGUUCGGAAUUACUGGGCGUAAAGGGCGCGUAGGCGGCCACCGCAAGUCAAUUGUGAAAUCUCCGGGCUUAACUCGGAAAGGUCAACUGAUACUGCGGGGCUAGAGUGCGGAAGGGGCAACUGGAAUUCUCGGUGUAGCGGUGAAAUGCGUAGAUAUCGAGAGGAACACCUGCGGCGAAGGCGGGUUGCUGGGCCGACACUGACGCUGAGGCGCGAAAGCCAGGGGAGCGAACGGG